AUUGAACGCUGGCGGCAUGCCUUACACAUGCAAGUCGAACGGCAGCACGGGUGCUUGCACCUGGUGGCGAGUGGCGAACGGGUGAGUAAUACAUCGGAACGUACCUUAUCGUGGGGGAUAACGCAGCGAAAGCUGUGCUAAUACCGCAUACGCCCUGAGGGGGAAAGCGGGGGAUCGAAAGACCUCGCGCGAUUAGAGCGGCCGAUGCCUGAUUAGCUUGUUGGUGGGGUAAAAGCCCACCAAGGCGACGAUCAGUAGCUGGUCGGAGAGGACGAUCAGCCACACUGGGACUGAGACACGGCCCAGACUCCUACGGGAGGCAGCAGUGGGGAAUUUUGGAUAAUGGGGGCAACCCUGAUCCAGCAAUGCCGCGUGAGUGAAGAAGGCCUUCGGGUUGUAAAGCUCUUUUGUCAGGGAAGAAACACCGGCUCUAACACAGUCCGGGAAUGACGGUACCUGAAGAAUAAGCACCGGCUAACUACGUGCCAGCAGCCGCGGUAA
Molecule: ribosomal RNA, 501 nt
Filed under: uncultured bacterium
Lineage: Bacteria
Description: partial 16S ribosomal RNA
Rfam family: Bacterial small subunit ribosomal RNA
Source: RNAcentral